This 1515-nucleotide ribosomal RNA is filed under the name human gut metagenome. Its description in RNAcentral is "bacterial LSU rRNA". It matches the Rfam family "Bacterial large subunit ribosomal RNA", at positions 473 to 2007 of the family's 2925-position model. The record is from RNAcentral.
CGAUAUGGUGACCGAUAGCGCAUAGUACCGUGAGGGAAAGGUGAAAAGAACCCCGGGAGGGGAGUGAAAGAGAACCUGAAACCCUGUGUUUACAAGCAGAGGAAGCACGAUUUAGGUGCGACCUUGUACUUUUUGUAGAACGGACCGGCGAGUUGCGUUAUGUUGCGAGGUUAAGUACUGAAGGUACGGAGCCGAAGCGAAAGCAAGUCUGAAGAGGGCGAAAAGUAACAUGACGCAGACCCGAAACCGGGUGACCUAUCCAUGGCCAGGUUGAAGUGGGAGUACAAUCCCAUGGAGGACCGAACCAGACGUCUGUUGAAAAAGGCGGGGAUGAGCUGUGGAUAGCGGAGAAAUUCCAAUCGAACCCGGAGAUAGCUGGUUCUCCUCGAAAUAGCUUUAGGGCUAGCCUCGUAUUAGAUAACUGGAGGUAGAGCACUGAAUGGGCUAGGGGGCCCAAAGCUUACCGAACCCUAUCAAACUUCGAAUGCCAGGAUAUUGAUGUACGGGAGUCAGUCCGCGAGAGAUAAGUUCCGCGGGCAAAAGGGGAACACCCCAGACCCACUGCUAAGGUCCCAAAGUGCGCGUUAAGUGGAGAAGGAUGUGUGAUUGCACAGACAACCAGGAUGUUGGCUCAGAAGCAGCCAUUCAUUCAAAGAGUGCGUAAUAGCUCACUGGUCGAGUGGUCAUGCGCCGAAGAUGUACCGGGGCUCAAACGCGCCACCGAAGCAUGGGAUUCGCGCAAGCGAGUGGUAGAGGAGCAUUGAAUCAGGGCAGAAGCUGGAGCGGGAGCACCAGUGGACUUGAUUCAAGAGAGAAUGCCGGUAUGAGUAGCGAGAGGCAAGCGAGAAACUUGCCCGUCGAAAGCCUAAGGUUUCCUGGGGAAGGUUCAUCCGCCCAGGGUAAGUCGGGACCUAAGCCGAGGACGGAAGUCGUAGGCGAUGGACAGCAGGUUGAGAUUCCUGCACCGCCUUGAGAAUGAUGCAAUGACACAGAAGGAUAGCAUGAGCCGGGUGAUGGUCAACUCGGUUUCCAGAGCGAGGGCGCUUGGUAGUGAAGUACGCCAAGCACAUAGCCUGAGCCAAAGAGGGAGCGAAAUUCAAGUAGCGAAGCAUGCGAUUUCACGCUGGCGAGAAAAGUUGCUGGUAUAUCGAAGAGGCGCCCGUACCGCAAACCGACGCAGGUAGGCGAGGUGAGAAUCCUAAGACGAACGGGAGAACCCUUGUUAAGGAACUCGGCAAAAUGACCCCGUAACUUCGGGAGAAGGGGUGCCGAUGGAAACAUCGGUCGCAGAGAAAAGGCUCAAGCGACUGUUUAGCAAAAACACAGGUAUCUGCGAAAGCGAGAGCUGACGUAUAGGUGCUGACACCUGCCCGGUGCUGGAAGGUUAAGGGGAAAUGUCAUCGCAAGAGAAGCAUAGAACCGAAGCCCCAGUAAACGGCGGCCGUAACUAUAACGGUCCUAAGGUAGCGAAAUUCCUUGUCGGGUAAGUUCCGACCCGCACGAAUGGUGUAACGA